This 2261-nucleotide long non-coding RNA is filed under the name Homo sapiens (human). RNAcentral describes it as "novel transcript". The record is from RNAcentral. Lineage: Eukaryota; Metazoa; Chordata; Mammalia; Primates; Hominidae.
GACAACUCGCGGGGAUUGUUUUCCACACCGUGGAAGCUUUGUUCUUUUCGUUUUUUGCAAUAAAUCUUGUUGCUGCUCGCUUUUUGGGUCCACAUUGCUUUUAUGAGCUGUACCACUCACCGUGAAGAUCUGCAGCUUCACUUCAGAGCCUAGCGAGACCACAAGCUCACUGAGAGGAACAAACAACUCCAGACGCGCUGUCUUAAGAGCUAUAACACUCACCGCGAAGGUGUGCAGUUUCACUCCUGAGCUAGUGAGACUACGAAGCCACUGGAACGAAGAAACUCCAACCACGUUUGAACAUCAGAAGGGGCAGACUCCAGACGCUUCAUCUUAAGAGCUGUAACACUCACUGUGAAGGUCUGCAGCUUCACUCCUGAGCCAGCGAGACCACGAACCGAUCUGAACAUCAGAAGGGACAGACUCCAGAUGCCCCACCUUAAGAGCUGUAAUACUCACUGCAAGGGUCUGCAGCUUCAUUCUUGAAGUCAGACCAAGAACCCAGCAAUUCCCAACACACAGGGACCAGCUUCUUUCCUAACUCACUUAGGCUCUUCGUGCUGCUCUGGCAACUAACACCCUUGGCUGCAGGGGCUUGGACACUACCCUUAGUCACUGACAAUUGUGUGAAGGCUGCUGUCGUUAACUUCACUUGAUCACCUUAGGCUCCUGUGAAGUGGUGAGCAAUUCAAACAAAUUCCUGUCGUCAAAUCAUGAUAUACAUCUUUCCACACCAAUAGACCUUGUUUUCCGAUGUAGCAUUAUUUUUCAUAGUUGGCGAAUAUACAGUUAUGGAUUCAUAACAGCAAGAUGGAGAAAUUGCACUGCAGAGAAAUCUUUAAAAGCAAUUACCUAAUACUGCAGAUUGCUGAACUGUACCCACACCCAAGACUGAGCAUUGGAUCAAUCCAGAAUAUACAUCAGGUGUUCUGCAAUGUCUGCCUAAAACCAUGACUCUGCCUCCUCCAGCUGUUGCUACAUCUCACUAUGGGUUUCCUGUGACAUUUUGAGCAAGUAUGCCUCUGUGACUGGGGUUCUUACACUCCAGAAUGGAUGAGAAGCACCCCUCCUGUGGAGCCGGCCGUGGAAACGCCCUGACAUGGAGUCAGAAGCCCGAGCCCGUGUUUCAGACUUGGCGUUCAUUGACCAGAAGAGCUGCUUCACCACUUAACCAUGCAGCUUCAAGGGCUCCAUCUGCAAAACGCAGGCUUGAACCACAGGACUGGUUAUGCUCCUUCUUGUUCUGUGUCCUCUAAAUCCACCCCGUGGGAUGGUUCUCAUCCUCAUUUCUAGGAAAACAAGGCCCAGGUGGAAUCUCUUUUCUCAUCUGCAGGACUGAUGCCUUUCUUGGCCUAAAUUUCAACAACAUGUGACUAUAAAACUUACCUGUGUGUGAACCCUACAGAUAUUUGCGGGGGUGUUGUGUGGGGAGAUGACCCCAUGGUGGGCCCCUAGCGCCGGCCUCUUGCUAUCAUGCUGAGCACGCCCACCUUGCCGCAGCCUAGGAUCUCCCUUUCCCACCGGCACUCUCUUGCCUGGAGUGUGGAUCCACUGUGGCUUUCCCUCGCCCCAUCCUCCAGCUUGGUGGGUAGUAAUAUCUUCUGUCCCUCUUUAGACUCGGGGGCCUAACUGGAAAACAGGUGCAUUGGUAGAUUUAGUAGCAGAGGAGUCCAAGAGUUCUAGUGCUCUACAUGGGCAUGAGACCAAAGCCCAUAAAUACAUGUUCGCGGGGUGCCUACUGUAUACCCAAUGCUGUAAGGUAGUGUCCCCAAAGCAUACUGCUGCAGAACACUAGUUUUGUGGGGUGUUCAACGAUAUUACCUGGAGAAAAGAGUCCAGAAUCUAACAAGUUUGGGAAACUCUGGAUUAAAUAAGGUUAACUAUGUUUCUUUUAGGUAGUCCUUCUCAGAGACUUAAGAUGAGAGCAUGCAUUGGGAACUUCCAAAAUGGGAGAUGCAGUGGGAGGCACUCCCAUAGUUAGGUAACCAGGCAGCCCCUUUUUACUUAUUUUAUUUUAUUUUUUUGAGAUGGAGUCUUACUAUGUUACCCAGGCUGGACUCAAACUUCUGAGCUCAAGCAGUUAUCCCACCUCAGCCUUAUCCCACCUCAGCCUCCUAAGUAGCUGGGACUACAGGCACGAGCCACCACACCUGGCUUUUUUAAAAACAAAGGACCAUAUUUUGGAAACACAUAGGCCCUGUAGCACACAGACCCAUGGGAUCUCCUGGCCACCUGGCCCAGCCCAUCUUCCGCAGAUAUGA